Molecule: long non-coding RNA, 6103 nt
Filed under: Gallus gallus (chicken)
Lineage: Eukaryota; Metazoa; Chordata; Aves; Galliformes; Phasianidae
Source: RNAcentral
AAAAAAUAGGAAGUCAGCAACAGGAAAGCGGGUGUGCUCUCAGCAGCAGUGUUAAGGGUUGAGUCCUGAGGAAGGACACAAGGAACAAAACGCUGCAUCGAAGCCGCCUGCUGAAGGCAGAGUAGUGUGACUGACGGCACCUACAGCUCUGAGCAUCUCAGGAAACAUAAAAGUUGAUGCAGGGCACAGAACCGUGUGUGGCUGCCCCUCGUGCACGAUUAAAAGCAGCAAUAUCCACGGGGAGAGGGGGGGAGGGGUGGGUCGCAUUCUGCAGUGCGUUUUCUAGCUCGGAGCUGAGCCCAGGAUGGAGGCCUGGGAGAGAAGUGAAGUGGGGGGGGGGGGGGGGGGGGGAGGACGCGGGAGGGCAGCGCGGCGAGAGCGGGCGCCCCCCAGCCGUGCCAGGGCCGGCGCUGCAUGGCGCUGCUCAGCCUGCCUUGCAGAGGGAGCUCGAGUCCCGCUCUGCGCCUCGCAGCGCCUCUCCCUCCGCAGCGCACACGGCAGCGGCGCAGCGAGGUGGCGGCAGGCAGGGCUGCGGGCCGGGCCGGGCCACGAGAACCGCCGCACCGCUCCGCCGAGCUCCGAACCCCCCGAGGAGGUGGAGGAGGGAGAAAGGAGAGAGCCCCGAGGAGCCUGAGCAUCACUCCUGCUGUGGAGCUGUGCCAUAGGAAUGGGAAGAGCUUGCCAGUCUACUGUGGAGGAGAUGAUGUUAAAGCCACACAGAUGAGGUUAUUCCUAGGAGUUCCAGGAGCAGAGUCAUUUCGUCCCGACGUGCAGCACCCUGCCUGCCCUGACAGAAGGUUGCUUUCCUGCUCCAAUCUCUGCAGCCAAGGUACAGCUUAUCCUGGAAGAUGGUAUUCUACUGCAGGGAUGGGGCCAGGCUUUGGCAGAGCAAGGAGAACACCCGCAUAGGCUGCUGGAGCGCUGAGCUGUUCGUACUUCCAGGGCUUAGCUGGGGGAAAAAGAAACAACACCAAACAGAAGUCUGGGCCACUUAUUACCUGCAGGGUGUUUCUGUCCACAGCUGUUACCCAACAGCUGCGUGUGCCAGCCAAGACCCGUAUUCUCACUCCUGCUGCCUGCAGCUGGGAGCAUGAUACAGAGCUAUGGGAGAAAUACUGUGCUUUUGGCCUGCGGCUUGUGCAACCCCCAAGCAGGUGGAAUAAUGCUAAGCUAGCACUGAUGGGGCAGAGCAUCUCCUGCUUGUACCUUUCCUGCAGUUCUGUCUGCAGAUAAAGCCAUAUCCAAAAGUGGUUGCUCUGAAGGCAGCACCCUGACAGGUGUCAGGCUUGCUGAGGUGUUGCUGCGUCUGCUUGGUGCUACUGUGUCCCAGGUACCCAGCACAGACCUGGGAGGCAGAGAGCUGACCAGAACUGCCCUGAGCCACCUCCUGGCCUUGCAGGCUUAUGGUACCAAAGCACACCCCAGCAUGAGAGAUGCCUGGGUGCUCCUGCUGCUGACGUGGUGCUUCCCAGCUAGUUACAGGAAGCAGAUGUCCCAUUUGGGGCACCCUGUGCACCAUGGCAUGCUUUCAUCCCUUUUGCAGGCUCUUACGAUGCACCUCCACUAGCAGCCCCCUACCAAAACAGAACAACCCAAGAGCCUGAGCUCCCUGGGACAUCUGGGUCCCCUGCAAGUGCACAGUGGGCAGGCAGAGCCAGCAGGAUAAGAACAUGAAGUCUGAGGCAGCCUGACAAAGGACUGUUAGUAAGGACAGCGGUCCCGGAGGCUGCGAGCUGCUGGGCUUUGCUAAGAAACCCAUCGAGAUGGUGCUGGCCCCAGGGGUCCUUGCUUCUGCUGGCUGUUGGGGCAUUUUGCUGCUUUAACCUACUCCUCUCUCAGAACUGUGAGGGCUGCUAAGAUGAUUAAGAGCUUGGAGCACCUGCCAUAUAAAAAAAAAGAGCCUGGGAGAAUGGAGGCUUGGAGCGGUUCUUAUCCAUGUCUCUCAACACUUGGUGGUGGGUAAAGAAGAGAGACCAGUUCUCCUUAGUGAUGCCCAGUGACAGAAUGAGAGCCAUACUGAUAGCAAAAUACAGGAGUUCCAUUUAAACUAAAGAAAUGUUUUUUCUGUGAGGCUGGCUGAAUACUGGAACAGGUGGCACAGAAGUGUUCUGUCAUCUCCAUCUUUGGAAACGGUCCUGGGCAGCCUGCUUGAACUAACUCACGUUGAGCAGGGGGGGGGAAUGGAAGGCCAUGUUCAGAGGUCCCUUCCCAACUCAAUUCCACAAUUCCUUGAUGCGUUGUGGCUUGGUAUCGCUGUGAUGAGACAUACAUGGUCCUACCAUUCUGACUUCCAGCCAUUGCCUCCCUUCUCUGGGGCAGGUCAGGGCUUCCCUGUGCUGAGCACAGCUCAGCUGUGACCCUGCUCUGCGCAAUGCAUUGUGGCGCCUUAGCGAGGCUUCCCAUGCCCUGCAGCCCAGGUUUGGCAGCAUCAUGGUAACUCUCACACAGCUCAGGGACAGUGAAAACUCCUUCUGCUGCUAAAAGAGAUAGCUGCUGUACUGCUGGUAAAAGCAGAAGGUUGAUCCUCACCUGAGAAACACCCACCCAGCUUUCAGUCCAGGGAGACACCCCCAGGCCAGAGCUCCCUGCCCCUUGGCACAGGGGCUGAACACCCACGCAGCAACACCGACGCUCAUUAAAGGUUUACUUUUAUUUCUGGUUUAAAAUCAAAAUUAGUCAUUCUCUGUAAUUACAUUAUAUAUAGAUUUAUAGAGACAUUAUAGAAAAGAAUUUGUCGCUUUUUUUCUGCAAAAAAAAAAAAAAAAGAAAUCUGUAAAUAAAAAAUAAAAUAAACAACAAGGAAAGGAAAAGGUGGCAGUGUCCGUCUGUCCGUCCCUCUGUCGCUCCUCCUGCCCCUGCCCUCCACAGCACUCCCCCGCAGAGGGGAAGGGCUCUGGGCUGGGGCUGUGCCUCACUGCGCCCCACCGCCGGGGAGGGACAGGAGCAUGCGGAGCUGGAAAGAAGAAAUGCCAGCAGAAUAUAUUAAUAUAUCUCAUAUCUCAUUUUAUUUAAGUCCUGCGGACUUCCAGGUGGCAAAAGGGCAGCGGUUCCCUCCCAGCCCAGGCGACUUCUGGAAAGAAACAGCAUCGCUUCCAAAGUGUGGGUCCUUCCAGGAAAGGGCACGCGGCCCGAGCAGCAGGAAGGCAAGAGGCGGAGGAAUCCGCACACCCUUGAACAGAUCCCAUCUCCAAAAGCCGGCAGAGCUCCCAGUCCAGGAGCUGGGGCAAGUGGGCGAGGCCCAGGGCUGUGCCAGGUGCAGCAUGCCAACCAGCUGUGCACUUCUGCAUGCACCUACAUGGGGACCCCAAGAGCUUCCCAGCACCCCCGCGUACACACAGGGAUGCACACUCCAUGCUGAGAGAUCUCUGCCCAGCAGCCCUGCACACAGAUCUGCACGCAGCAGCCAUCCCCAGCAGAGCUGGUGACGUGGGACACAGGACACGUGGCACCUAUGUGCGCAGGCAUUGCCGCGGGGCUACGAACAACCAAGACACACAGACUCCAAAAAGUGACGUGGCUGACAGGCUCUAAGACAGAGACAUUUGUGAGCAAAGCAGGAGUGGGGCUGAGGGACGAGGACAGCUCACAUGUCCCAACCUGUGCAGCAGCUGCCGCGGUCUGGAGGCCUAGAAACCCAACUCAGAUGGUUCUCUCAGUGCCAUCUAGCAAAUAAUAAAUAACACCCACGCUUAGGGCUGUGCCCGCAGGAAUCCUCGCUGCCCACCACCGCUCUCACCCCACACAGCUGGGGCACCGUAAGCCGGAGCAUGGGGCAGGCAGGGAUCAGCCCAGGCCCCUAUCUCCCUUGGGCAGUGUGCCAUGGGGUGAUGCAGGACACUCACCACACAGCAUCAGGCUCUGCUUGGCUGCCUCCCGCACAGGCUCCUUGUCGGUUUGGCACAGGUAAACCAGCUGCUCGAUGCUCUCCUUGGCCUGCAGGAGAGGGAAGAGGGCUGAGUGUGGUUGGUGCCAGCCACGUGGAUGUGACCCACUGGGGAAGGCAGCAAGGUUCCUGCAGCCCUGCAGUAGGUUGCAGGCAGGGCAGACCCCCAAGCCCCCAUCGGAGCUCAACCUCCAGACCAGCCCUGGGCAGAAAAAGUCACGGAAUCAUAGAAUCACAGAAUGGCUUGGGUUGGGAGGGACCUGCAAGAUCAUCCAGUUACAACCCUAAAGUCCCUUGGCUGUGUCCCCUUUCCCUUCCUACUGUGCCCCAGCACAUUUGGGGCACCCCUAGGAGCUGAAGGCUGCACAGAGACAGCAGCAGGCAGCAUCAGUUCCUCUCCACCCACCCCACAGCCAGCUCAGCCUGGAAGCAGAUACCCCAUGUGCUCCUUCGUGCACCCAUCUCACCUUGAGGCAGCCCAGCGCCACGCAGCCGGCCACGCGUGUCUGCACCUCCUCAUCCUCCAGCUGUCCCAGGAAGCACACGAGGGCCUGGGGCAGAGCGAGGGCUCAGUGCCACCACUUCAAGUAGCGACCCAGAGCCCACCUCCCCCCCUCCUGCCCACAGCGUACCCGUUGGCGGAAGCGGGGGUUUUCCGCCAGGCUGCGGAGCUGUGCCGACACGGCGCUCACCACCUUGCUGUUUCCUUCCACGAGCAGCAAGCUGAGCGCCUUCAGCCCUUCCUUCUUCAGGCGGCCCUCGGGCACACGCUUCAGUGCCCGCAGCACCACAUCCUGGUCGUCUGAGUUGAGGUUCUGCGCCAGCAGCACUGUGGGGACAGCCCGGUGAGCUGAGCAUCUGUGGGGAGCUCAGCCUCCAGCCACAGCAGUCAGAGGGAUCCCACAAUAGGAUGCUGGGGGCGCUGCCCCGCUGCUGGGGUACCUGAGCUGGAGACCUGCAGAAAGCAAGGUCCAAAGGGUGCCCCAGGAUGGGAGUGUAGGAAGGGGCUGAGCACAAGCAAUGGGGCAGGGUGGGCGAGCCUUUGGGUGGGCGAGCCUUUGGGUGAUACCCCACAGUGCUGUACACCCUACAGCCUCCAGCUCAGGGCACGGCAGAAGGGCACCCACCUUCCUCUGCCAGCUCCAUCACGUAGGUGUCGAGCACCAGGGCACCGAGGGCCUCGAAGUGGCUCCAGUACUGGAAGAUGGUGACCUGCUCACCCUGGGUGCCACCGGGUCGCCGUGGCAGCCGCCGGUUCAGCACAUCUUCCACCAGCUUCACACAUACUGUGGGAAAAUAACGGGGUCAGGGCAUGCAGCACCUCGUAGGGUCGGAGAUUCCCUUCUUGCACGUCCACACCUGCACACCCUCACCUGCAUCAGCCAGUCCUGGGUGCCGCUCACUGAUGGGUGCUGCGUACUGCGCACUGAGCACCUGCAGGAACCGCUCCACGGGGCAGGUGUAGAUGUUGGGCAGCUCCACGCAGUGGUCCCAAAGGGGCAGCACCCCUUCUUUCCGUGUUGAGAACUGCACCACUGCGGGGACAGGCGGUGUCAAGCUGCACAUCCAGCUGGCACAUCCCUCCCGUGCAGCCCCUUGCUGCCCUUACCUCCGGCAGCAGAGCCCGCUGCUUCCGACCGCUCCUCCAUCAGUUGGCACACGAUCUCCAGCACCUGCGCCUCCCGCAGCAGCCUGUCCAGGGCGAACAUCUCCCGGCACCUCAGAGGCCCAAAGGUGCCCAGGUUCUGUGAGGCACAGGUAUGCCAGUGACCUUAAGGACAGCACAGCACCCAGACCCCAGCACAGCCACAGCAAGGCAUCUCGGAGGGUCUUAGGGGGGCCAGAAACUGCGAGGAGCCAUGGCCAGCCCCAGGAUGUGUCCCACUAUUGCAUCCCACUCCCUGCAGGGAGCCUUGGCCAACCCCACCACGUGUCCCCGCAUCGUGUCCCAGUCCCCAGUCUCACCAGCAGCAGGUGGUUGCAGUUGUGGAGGUGAAGCACCAGGGCCUUAUCCAGGAACUCACUGCCGGUGCUCAUGGGGUCCGCGCUGCCCUCAGAGCCGCUGCACGUUCCAGUGUCAUCCGCUCCCACCUCACCAGCGCUGGCAGCCCUGCUUCCACGCCGUGCUCUGCUGGCCCUCCUGCAAACCAGCAAGAGCUGGAUCAGCACAGGGCACCCGAACCCAGCCCUUCCUUUCCCACCAGAGCUCAGCACCCCAAG